GCCCGGGUGGUGGAAUGGUAGACACUAGGGACUUAAAAUCCCUUGCUCGAAAGGGCGUGCGGGUUCGAGUCCCGCCCCGGGUACCA
RNAcentral lists this transfer RNA (86 nucleotides) under Opitutaceae bacterium. Its description in RNAcentral is "tRNA-Leu". It matches the Rfam family "tRNA". Rfam says of the family: Transfer RNA (tRNA) molecules are approximately 80 nucleotides in length. The record is from RNAcentral. Lineage: Bacteria; Pseudomonadati; Verrucomicrobiota; Opitutia; Opitutales; Opitutaceae.